RNAcentral lists this ribosomal RNA (112 nucleotides) under Caerostris darwini. Lineage: Eukaryota; Metazoa; Arthropoda; Arachnida; Araneae; Araneidae. The record is from RNAcentral.
AACGGCCAUACCAUGCUGAAUAUACCGGUUCUCGUUAGAUCACCGAAGUCAAGCAUGAUUGGGCGCGGUCAGUACUUGGGUGGGUAACCACCUGGGAACACCGCGUGCCGUU